RNAcentral lists this long non-coding RNA (533 nucleotides) under Phasianus colchicus (ring-necked pheasant). Its description in RNAcentral is "lncRNA (ENSPCLG00000003971.1)". Lineage: Eukaryota; Metazoa; Chordata; Aves; Galliformes; Phasianidae. The record is from RNAcentral.
CUUUAGAUAGAAUUUGUAUUGCCAUAAGACUGUAGCCUUUGAUGUGUUAUUUCUACUUUACCAAAUGACUUGGUACUGCUGCUCAGUUUAUUUAAUGCCUAGUUUGCCAGCACUUGCUUAUGUAGUCAAUAAAUAGGUGGUAAAAUUAAGUUUAGAGCUGAGAAAAUGUCUGACAAGGAGAUGAGAUAUAAGUAACAGGGCUCGGUAAAAUUCUUUUUGGUUUCUCCCUGCUCAGCUGACUAUUUUGGGCAUUUCAUGCCAAAUUUGAAUCCUCGAACACUUGAUGUCUGACUGGAUGUACUGGGAUCGGGAUCAUCUAAGGCAACCAUCCCCUCCUCUAUUUCGCAUUGGAUGGAACAACUGAAUGUGCCUGAGUCAAAAUGCCUACCCACAUCAAUCUGCUGCUGUGGUUUUGAGGAUUUCUGACAUCUGCCAGUCCUGGGAAAGCUGAUGUUAGCCUUGCUUGUGGUACACUGCCAGCUGUGAUUCUAGAAGCUAAUAAAUAAUGCUUUAAAAUGGAUCCUGGAUACUAC